Molecule: ribosomal RNA, 2900 nt
Filed under: Stutzerimonas stutzeri NF13
Lineage: Bacteria; Pseudomonadati; Pseudomonadota; Gammaproteobacteria; Pseudomonadales; Pseudomonadaceae
Description: bacterial LSU rRNA
Rfam family: Bacterial large subunit ribosomal RNA
Source: RNAcentral
GGUCAAGUGAAGAAGCGCAUACGGUGGAUGCCUUGGCAGUCAGAGGCGAUGAAAGACGUGGUAGCCUGCGAAAAGCUUCGGGGAGUCGGCAAACAGACUGUGAUCCGGAGAUGUCUGAAUGGGGGAACCCAGCCAUCAUAAGAUGGUUAUCACACACUGAAUACAUAGGUGUGUGAGGCGAACCAGGGGAACUGAAACAUCUAAGUACCCUGAGGAAAAGAAAUCAACCGAGAUUCCCUUAGUAGUGGCGAGCGAACGGGGACUAGCCCUUAAGUUGAUUUGAGAUUAGCGGAACGCUCUGGAAAGUGCGGCCAUAGUGGGUGAUAGCCCUGUACGCGAAAAUCUCUUAUCAAUGAAAUCGAGUAGGACGGAGCACGAGAAACUUUGUCUGAAUAUGGGGGGACCAUCCUCCAAGGCUAAAUACUACUGACUGACCGAUAGUGAACCAGUACCGUGAGGGAAAGGCGAAAAGAACCCCGGAGAGGGGAGUGAAAUAGAACCUGAAACCGUAUGCGUACAAGCAGUGGGAGCCUACUUUGUUAGGUGACUGCGUACCUUUUGUAUAAUGGGUCAGCGACUUAUUUUCAGUGGCGAGCUUAACCGAAUAGGGGAGGCGUAGCGAAAGCGAGUCUUAAUAGGGCGUCUAGUCGCUGGGAAUAGACCCGAAACCGGGCGAUCUAUCCAUGGGCAGGUUGAAGGUUAGGUAACACUGACUGGAGGACCGAACCGACUACCGUUGAAAAGUUAGCGGAUGACCUGUGGAUCGGAGUGAAAGGCUAAUCAAGCUCGGAGAUAGCUGGUUCUCCUCGAAAGCUAUUUAGGUAGCGCCUCGUGUAUCACUGCUGGGGGUAGAGCACUGUUUCGGCUAGGGGGUCAUCCCGACUUACCAAACCGAUGCAAACUCCGAAUACCAGCAAGUGUCAGCACGGGAGACACACGGCGGGUGCUAACGUCCGUCGUGAAAAGGGAAACAACCCAGACCGUCAGCUAAGGUCCCAAAAUCCUGGUUAAGUGGGAAACGAUGUGGGAAGGCUUAGACAGCUAGGAGGUUGGCUUAGAAGCAGCCAUCCUUUAAAGAAAGCGUAAUAGCUCACUAGUCGAGUCGGCCUGCGCGGAAGAUGUAACGGGGCUCAAACCAGGUACCGAAGCUACGGGUUCAACGCAAGUUGAGCGGUAGAGGAGCGUUCUGUAAGCCUGUGAAGGUCAGUUGAGAAGCUGGCUGGAGGUAUCAGAAGUGCGAAUGCUGACAUGAGUAACGACAAUGCGAGUGAAAAACUCGCACGCCGAAAGACCAAGGGUUCCUGCGCAACGUUAAUCGACGCAGGGUGAGUCGGUCCCUAAGGCGAGGCUGAAGAGCGUAGUCGAUGGGAAACGGGUUAAUAUUCCCGUACUUCUAGUUACUGCGAUGGGGGGACGGAGAAGGCUAGGCCAGCAAGGCGUUGGUUGUCCUUGUUUAAGGUGGUAGGCAGAGAUCUUAGGUAAAUCCGGGGUCUUAAUGCCGAGAGCUGAUGACGAGCUUUCUUUUAGAAAGCGAAGUGGUUGAUGCCAUGCUUCCAGGAAAAGCCUCUAAGCUUCAGGUAACUAGGAACCGUACCCCAAACCGACACAGGUGGUUGGGUAGAGAAUACCAAGGCGCUUGAGAGAACUCGGGUGAAGGAACUAGGCAAAAUGGCACCGUAACUUCGGGAGAAGGUGCGCCGGUGAGGGUGAAGUAUUUACUACGUAAGCCCAUGCCGGUCGAAGAUACCAGGCCGCUGCGACUGUUUAUUAAAAACACAGCACUCUGCAAACACGAAAGUGGACGUAUAGGGUGUGACGCCUGCCCGGUGCCGGAAGGUUAAUUGAUGGGGUUAGCGCAAGCGAAGCUCUUGAUCGAAGCCCCGGUAAACGGCGGCCGUAACUAUAACGGUCCUAAGGUAGCGAAAUUCCUUGUCGGGUAAGUUCCGACCUGCACGAAUGGCGUAACGAUGGCGGCGCUGUCUCCACCCGAGACUCAGUGAAAUUGAAAUCGCUGUGAAGAUGCAGUGUAUCCGCGGCUAGACGGAAAGACCCCGUGAACCUUUACUAUAGCUUUGCACUGGACUUUGAAUUUGCUUGUGUAGGAUAGGUGGGAGGCUUUGAAGCGUGGACGCCAGUUCGCGUGGAGCCAUCCUUGAAAUACCACCCUGGCAACUUUGAGGUUCUAACUCUGGUCCGUUAUCCGGAUCGAGGACAGUGUAUGGUGGGUAGUUUGACUGGGGCGGUCUCCUCCUAAAGAGUAACGGAGGAGUACGAAGGUGCGCUCAGACCGGUCGGAAAUCGGUCGUAGAGUAUAAAGGCAAAAGCGCGCUUGACUGCGAGACAGACACGUCGAGCAGGUACGAAAGUAGGUCUUAGUGAUCCGGUGGUUCUGUAUGGAAGGGCCAUCGCUCAACGGAUAAAAGGUACUCCGGGGAUAACAGGCUGAUACCGCCCAAGAGUUCAUAUCGACGGCGGUGUUUGGCACCUCGAUGUCGGCUCAUCACAUCCUGGGGCUGAAGCCGGUCCCAAGGGUAUGGCUGUUCGCCAUUUAAAGUGGUACGCGAGCUGGGUUUAGAACGUCGUGAGACAGUUCGGUCCCUAUCUGCCGUGGACGUUUGAGAUUUGAGAGGGGCUGCUCCUAGUACGAGAGGACCGGAGUGGACGAACCUCUGGUGUUCCGGUUGUCACGCCAGUGGCAUUGCCGGGUAGCUACGUUCGGAAGAGAUAACCGCUGAAAGCAUCUAAGCGGGAAACUUGCCUCAAGAUGAGAUCUCACUGGAGCCUUGAGCUCCCUGAAGGGCCGUCGAAGACUACGACGUUGAUAGGUGGGGUGUGUAAGCGCUGUGAGGCGUUGAGCUAACCCAUACUAAUUGCCCGUGAGGCUUGACCAUAUAACACCC